This 482-nucleotide ribosomal RNA is filed under the name uncultured bacterium. Its description in RNAcentral is "partial 16S ribosomal RNA". It matches the Rfam family "Bacterial small subunit ribosomal RNA", at positions 28 to 507 of the family's 1533-position model. The record is from RNAcentral.
GACGAACGCUGGCGGCGUGCUUAACACAUGCAAGUCGAACGCUGAAGCUCAGCUUGCUGGGUGGAUGAGUGGCGAACGGGUGAGUAACACGUGAGUAACCUGCCCUCUUCUUUGGGAUAACGCCCGGAAACGGGUGCUAAUACUGGAUAUUCACUGAUUCUCGCAUGGGGGUUGGUGGAAAGGUUUUUUCUGGUGGGGGAUGGGCUCGCGGCCUAUCAGCUUGUUGGUGGGGUGAUAGCCUACCAAGGCUUUGACGGGUAGCCGGCCUGAGAGGGUGACCGGUCACAUUGAGACUGAGAUACGGCCCAGACUCCUACGGGAGGCAGCAGUGGGGAAUAUUGCACAAUGGGCGAAAGCCUGAUGCAGCGACGCCGCGUGAGGGAUGGAGGCCUUCGGGUUGUAAACCUCUUUCGCUCAUGGUCAAGCCGCAGCUUUGGGUUGUGGUGAGGGUAGUGGGUAAAGAAGCGCCGGCUAACUACGUG